This is a long non-coding RNA of Telopea speciosissima, 152 nucleotides long. RefSeq lists it as uncharacterized. The record is from RefSeq and is a predicted model, not a curated record. The transcript has 3 exons. Lineage: Eukaryota; Viridiplantae; Streptophyta; Magnoliopsida; Proteales; Proteaceae.
CUACUGCAAGAAUUAUCUAAAUCAUGGUCAUCGUCAUCCUCUUCGUUGCCUGUGGGUGGUUCUAGAACACUUAAAGCAUUCCUUUGUAGCUUAACUUCCACUCCAUUCUUCAGAACCUAGAACUCCAUAAAUAUGGUGUCUUAUUUAUAUAU